Hibiscus syriacus is the source of this 5016-nucleotide RNA transcript. It is a transcript of the gene named ENHANCER OF AG-4 protein 2-like, with no coding region annotated. NCBI's taxonomy places the organism in Eukaryota, Viridiplantae, Streptophyta, Magnoliopsida, Malvales, Malvaceae. The record is from RefSeq and is a predicted model, not a curated record. The transcript has 13 exons.
AAACCAAGAUUUACUCCCCACUCAUAUCUCCGCCACCGUCCCACGCCGGAACUCCCCAGGGCACGUCGCCGCCGCCGGCGAUAUCUGUGGCACCAAGCAUUCAACUCUUUAUCUCCUUUCUCUAGAUUUUGGUUGUUUGGAUUGCAUUUGAUCACGCAAAAAGGAAUAACAAAGACGACGUAGACACGGCGUCUUAGGACCUCUUAGGGUUUAGACUUGAUGGCUGGUAGUCGUAAAAAGGGAGGGAAGAAAGCAAAAGUUAAGGACUUACGUUUAGGCGAUCUUGUUCUUGCCAAAAUCAAGGGUUUCCCUGCUUGGCCUGCGAAGAUCAGCCGGCCUGAAGAUUGGGAGCAAGAACCUGACCCUAAGAAAUAUUUUGUCCAGUUCUUUGGAACACAAGAAAUAGCUUUUGUGCCCCCUGCAGAUAUUCAGGCAUUUACUAGUGAGACAAAGAUUAAAUUGUCUACCAAGUGUCAAAUUAAAACGAAGUACUUUGUCCAAGCUGUGAAGGAAAUCUGUGUGGAAUAUGAUGAAUUACAUGAAGAGAAGAGCAGAGGCUUGAGAGAUGAAGCUGAUGGAUCAAAACCUGGCUGUGAGGCUUCAUCUGGUGAUGGAGUCAACGUUGAUGGUGCGGAGGCCAACUUAAAGAAUGGAACAGCUGCUGUUGCACCUGUUGAAGAUGCCAGCAGUGAGGGAAAAACUGAUCUUGCUUCUAAUACGAGGUGCCAUUCACGCAUAGAUGAGAAUAAUAGUGAAGAUAAAAAGCCAUCAGUUUUGAGUGAUGUGUAUUAUGGCUCAUGCCCAGUUAUGUCUUCUGAGGGGAAACAUAAAAUAUCUUAUGGUGAACAACCUAAAAUGGAGGUAUUAUCUCCAUCAUCUUUAGAUAAACCUUCUCAUAUAAAGGUGGAAUUUUCUGAUGAUAAACUUGCUACUGUCAAUAGUACUAAGAGAACAUUGAGAGAAGAUCAGAAAUCAAAGAAUAUGGCUCCUGGGCCAAAGAAAAGAACUGGGAAAGGAGAGAAAAGCAGCAGCUCAGAUGUAAAAUCAUUGAGGGAUGAUACAUCUGAAGGUUGUCUUGAUCUGUCUGAGUCUGAGGAGCGAUUGAAAGAUGGGCGAAAAGUCAAAGUCUCAGGCAGUCGUGCACGAAAAUCCUCACAAUAUACUCUCAAAGCAGAUUCUAAUUACACUGGUGGUAAGAAGGGAAAGGAAUUGCUGAAAACCAAAAGCAACUUCAAGGCCACUGAUGAUGUACAGGGCACAGUGGCCAAUUCUAAACCUGAGACUGCUGGUAAAAAAAGGUGUGAACCUGGACUUGGAAAGCCUAAAUUAGGAACAGAUGAAACUUUACAUCCUGCCAAAAAGUCAAAGUUUGUAGAUAUGAAAAUUGAUGCCUCCAAGGGAUCUCUUGGCAAAAACAAGAAGAGUAGUUCUUCAAUUUCUAACAAUGUCAGGGACAAAGAAGUUAAAAAAUCAAAGUUGAAAAAAUCUAUAUCUCAUGUUGUAGCACCGAGAGCCCCAACGAAAGCUAGUUCUGAUGUUUCUGAUGAUGAAGCUGUGGUGCCCUUAUCAAAUUGUCCUCAGCAGGCUUUGGAGGCUAUGUCUGAUUCUGCCUCUCUUAAUUCUGAUGUUAAAAUUGGAAUAAACCCUGUUGAACUGAAGAGUGGUACACCAAGUUCCAAUGUGAAAAGUUCAGCUACCCGAUUGCCAAAAAGGCGGAGAGCUGUUUGUCUUUUUGUUGAUGAUGAAGAAGAAGAUUCUGAGACUCCAGUUCAUGGAGGGCUUGCCCACAAUGUUAAGGUAACUUUUGUCGGCUCUGAUGCUUUACAGAGCAUUGAUGUAACUCACGCAACUUCUGUCGAUGCUGAAGGUAGUGCUGGAAAUUCCACACAUUAUGAGAAUAGUGGUCUUGUGGAGGCUUCUUCACAAUUAUCAAAUGAUUUUGUGCAACCUCUUCAACCAAAGACUUCCGAAAGGACUUCUAUGCAUGCCUCCAUCACUCCUGAAAGAUCAAAAGCAGAGGAGUUUUGUUUCAAGGUGGCUAAACCUGUCUUGAUUUCCCCAAGGAAGUCCCCUCAUCUAGUGUCUGCCACCAAACAAGUUGAACAAAACAGAACUACUAAAGCUACUGUUAAGGUAUCCGGUAACACAACACAGAAAAAGGCUCUAUCUGGCUCUGUUAAGGGGCCGGGAGUGGUUUCUGAUGCUUUGAAGUCUUCUGAGGAUCAGUUUUUGAGUCAAAGAUUGGAUGUCUUUGGAAAAGAUAGGAGCAAUUCACUGACUGAUGCCAAGACUCCAGAUUCUACGAUGUCUAUGAAGCAUCUUAUUGCAGCUGCCCAGGCAAAAAGAAGACAAGCGCACUCUCAACAAUGUUCUCUUGGAAAUCCCAGUUCUGUUUUUGUAUCGAUGUCUGAUGUUCAGGGGGCAAUCCCCAGCCCUGCAGUUCAGCCUUUUCCAUCUGCAAUCGACAAUGUAAUUCAGGAUGAUGUGCAGAGAUUUGCUCACCAGACAAAUCUAUUUUCUCCAUCAACUCUUGGUCACCAGUCAGUGUCUCAUGAUCACCAAGAUGCUGAAGAGACUGAAGAGAGAAGAGCUAGUUCAGGACACAUUGCUAUAGGAAACUCUCUUAGUGGUGGCACUGAGGCAGCUGUUGCACGGGAUGCUUUUGAAGGAAUGAUAGAGACUUUAUCGAGGACUAAAGAAAGUAUAGGACGUGCAACCCGCCUUGCCAUUGAUUGUGCAAAGUAUGGCAUAGCAAAUGAAGUUGUUGAACUUCUCAUCAGGAAGCUAGAAUGUGAGCCCAGUUUUCAUCGUAAGGUUGACCUGUUCUUUCUUGUUGACUCAAUCACCCAAUGUUCACAUAAUCAGAAAGGAAUCGCUGGUGCUUCUUAUAUCCCUACAGUUCAAUCAGCAUUGCCCCGUCUCCUUGGUGCAGCUGCUCCACCAGGAGCAAGUGCUCGUGAAAAUCGUCGCCAAUGUCUCAAGGUUUUAAGGUUGUGGCUUGAGAGGAAAAUUUUGCCUGAAUCUAUUCUGCGAGGCUAUAUGGACAACAUUGGAGUUUCGAAUGAUGAUACAAUUUCAGGAUUUUCCCUAAGGCGCCCGUCUCGAGCUGAGCGUUCUAUAGAUGAUCCUAUAAGAGAAAUGGAAGGCAUGCUCGUUGAUGAGUAUGGCAGUAAUGCUACAUUUCAGCUCCCUGGAUUUCUGACUUCUAAUGUAUUUGAAGAUGAAGACGAUCUUUCAAGCAGUCCUUGCAGAGAAGCUGCUGAUGGAUCACCACAGGAAGGAGCUCCUGCUUUAGGAGAGCUAGAAACAUGUGCAGUUACCCUAGGUGACAGGCCUCAUCACAUCUUAGAAGACGUAGAUGGCGAACUUGAAAUGGAAGAUGUUUCUGGGCAUAUGAAGAAUGAUCAACCAUCCACAAAUGAUGGUCUUGAAAUGGACUGGCAGCAGCAUGGGAUUACGAAACUGGCUUCAAAUAGCUCUAAUGAAUUCCCUCCUCUACCAGAGGGUUCCCCUCCACCCCCACCUCCUUUACUGCCUUCCCCACCCCCACUUCCAACAUCUCCAUUACAACUUCCACCUCCACCUCCACAACUACCUGCUCCCGUGCCUCCUUCGAGCCCUCCUCCACCCUUCAUACCUCAACCAUCUGUGCCGACUCAAACGUCACUGCUAUCGCAGCCUAUGCUAUCACCCCAAUCAUCAAUACAGUCUUCACCACAGUUAGCAUAUCAAACACCUGUACCUAGCGAAUUCCAGGGCACACCAAAUGGUAAUCAGAUAGUUCAAAUGGCCGGAAAUACUCCUCAUGGCGGCCAUAUUGAUGCUGCCAUGAAAAGUGAACUGUUUCCACAGCAAUCACCGUGCUUUGUAACAGGUUUGUGCAAUUCUAGAGAACCUUCUGGAUACAUUUCUUCAAGGCAAUCGGAAGUUGGACAUAAUGAAAUGUACUUAAAUGUUCAAUGCUCUCAACCAAGUCAACAGCUUCAACCUGGUAAUACAGCCUUUGUGCAAAGGCUUUUACCCCCAAAUCUGCCACAAACCUCAUCUAGCCAUUUCUCAUUCGCAAAGCCUUCUAUGCUACCACAUCCUCAGCAUUCAUAUCCUCAAUUCUCCCUGCCGCCACAACAUGAUGGCCGGGGGCCAUUUGUUGCUGAUGAACAGUGGAGAAUGUCCAUAGGAGAAUACAAUACUGAUAAUCAACCUGGUGGGUGGGUAGCAGGAAGAAAUCCAUCACAUUGUGGUCCAAUGUUUGUCUCGGAAGGUUACUUUAGACCACCUGUUGGAAGACCAUCCUCAAAUAAUAUGGGCUUCCCCCUCAAUUCUACCAAAAAUUUACCAGCUGGAGCUCCAAAUACAGCUCAUGGUGUGUUUCCAUGUCAACCAGACAUGCCUGCCAUUAAUUGUUGGAGACCAACUUGAGACUGGGAAAGUAGCGUCAUUAGGAUAACAGGAAAAUGCUAUGCUCAAUAUCUUAUAUCCUCAUCCUUUCCAGUUAUUAGUUAAUUAUUGCUUUCUUUGUUAAAUUGAUGUUUUUUUUGGUUGGCUGCAAGACAAAUUACAUGGAAGGGGCUCAUUUUUUGGACAAAAUAAUACCACUACAUGAAUGCAGUGAUGACAACUUCUGGGACUCUUGGCCGGAUUGUGCAUAUUAUAAUUUUUCCUGACAAUUGUAUCCCAGGAACAUCCUACACAUUUCUUCCUCGGUUUUGGCAAAUUGUUGGACCUGAAAUGUCUAUUUAUGUUGUUGCAACUUGGAUAUACACCAUUGUUGUCAGGUGCGAAGCAGAGUAACUACUGCAACAUGUUGAGGUAAAUAUUUUACAUGGAUUGUUGAGCCAUGGCAAUGCUUGGAUUUUUUUUUCUAACUAGUUAGAUAGGAAUAGUUGUUACAAGGAUGUUUUUUGUCAAAGUGUAGGCAGUUAGAAAUUACUUGAAAUUUUUUGUUAAAACCUCCACGUUUAUAAAGGAAUCAUGUAGGAUUCUGUAUAUUACAAAUACAUGAGUUUCUUUUUUCCU